This is a long non-coding RNA of Acanthochromis polyacanthus (spiny chromis), 395 nucleotides long. RefSeq lists it as uncharacterized. Lineage: Eukaryota; Metazoa; Chordata; Actinopteri; Pomacentridae. The transcript has 3 exons. The record is from RefSeq and is a predicted model, not a curated record.
GUUCCACUGAUCAGGAGGUCUAGAAGGAGUCAUAGUUCCACUGAUCAGGAGGUCAAGAAGGAGUCAUAGUUCCACUGAUCAGGAGGUCUAGAAGGAGUCAUAGUUCCACUGAUCAGGAGGUCUAGAAGGAGUCAUAGUUCCACUAAUCAGGAGGUCUAGAAGGAGUCAUAGCUCCACUGAUCAGGAGGUCUAGAAGGAGUCGUAGUUCCACUAAUCAGGAGGUCAAGAAGGAGUCAUAGUUCCACUGAUCAGGAGGUCUAGAAGGAGUCAUAGCUCCACUGAUCAGGAGGUCUAGAAGGAGUCAUAGUUCCACUGAUCAGGAGGUCUAGAAGGAGUCAUAGUUCCACUGAUCAGGAGGUCUAGAAGGAGUCAUAGUUCCACUGAUCAGGAGGUCU